This 106-nucleotide small nucleolar RNA is filed under the name Gossypium hirsutum (cotton). RNAcentral describes it as "Plant small nucleolar RNA R71". It matches the Rfam family "Plant small nucleolar RNA R71". From Rfam's summary of the family: R71 is a member of the C/D box family of snoRNAs containing the C (UGAUGA) and D (CUGA) box motifs. RNAcentral also lists the same sequence under 1 other name. The record is from Rfam by way of RNAcentral. Lineage: Eukaryota; Viridiplantae; Streptophyta; Magnoliopsida; Malvales; Malvaceae.
AAUCUAUGGUGUGGUUAUUUCCUUAACAUCAUCUUAAAACACUCACAUGCCUCGUAUAGGGAUUCAGCUUCAAAUUAUUUAAAGGUUGUGAUUUCCUGCCUUAACU